AUAGUACUUUUAGCAAGAAAGGCUAUUGUGAAAAAUUGGAAGAAUAUUAUAGCUAUUUCUAAAGUUACCCCCAGCUAAAAGGGGUGAAGACAGGCUUGAGUCAUUGAAAAGGGCUAAAUAUGUUGCCGGCCCAUAUGGAUAUAAAAGUUAUAACCAUUAUUUUUAUUCCCAAUCAUUUCAGCUCAAAUAUAUUCCCUAAUUAUUUCUGCCCAAAUUUAAAUCCCCACCCUCACGGCAAUUUCCCCAUAUAAUUUACCCUACGUACCCAACACCUAUUACCGCUCAAACGUCUACGAUGGCUAUAGUGAGGUGUCUAACAAUUACAAUAAAAAGGGGUCCAAUAAGUUACAAUUUUAUUCUGGAUUUUCAUGUUCAGAAAUUGGAAAGUCCGCAAAAGGGUGUGUCUGGUUAUGGGAUUUGUAUGGAUAACAUUCUAAGCGUAGGUGUUCAGCGCCAAAACUUUUUGAAUGCAUUUGGGCUGAAACAUCCCAUUUUGACAUUUGCCUUGAUAAGUAUUCUUACCAAAGAACCGAUUCACUUGUAUGGAAUUCCAAAUUUUGAAGUUGAACGACACCUCCACCUUGAGGACAAGGUGGAUUUUGGGGCGGCGGGUAAUGAUAGACCCUCAAUCCAGUUCACCUAUUCUAGAAGGAUGAAGGAGCUUGCCAAAUCAGCUGAAGUUAGUUAGUUAGGGGUAAAAGUGUCAUAGCAUUGUGGUAGGAAGUGUAAAUAAAUAUGGGGUUUCGGGAAGGAAAAAGGCAUUCACGUUUUGGUUGAGUCAAGGGGGAGAGACCAGGCCUCUCGAUUAGCCUGGGAUUUGUUAUUUUCUGUUGUUCAUCAAUAAAUCGUUGCAUUAAGAUCUUAUUGCUGUGAGUUUGUUAUUUCCUUCAAUUGGGUCCAGGAGUCUUAUCAUUUCGGUAUUGCAGGUUGAGGUUCUAUCAAUUUCAUUUUGCAUGAUUAAGCAAUGCCUAUUAUAGCCUACAUCUAAGUUUUAAUCUUUCGUUGUUUUCAACAUGCAGCGUCAAUGAGAAACUGUAUAACAUGGGAAACUAUUAAUGUUGAACCAUUUUUGAAUGUCGAUGCGAAGUUAGAUCUCGUCCUUGAGGUUGUUACCCUCCUGUUGUUGAGUAUUUUCCUGUGAAUCCUAUGGUACUUUCUUCUUUUGAAAGGUUGUUUUCAUCCCUAGGUGGACUGAUUUUAAUUGUCAUUUCCCCAAUUUUAGCCUCUGCCAGUGUUAGUUGUAGGCCGAGAGAGGGUCCCCUUCGUAGCAGCCUUUCCUAUGGGCUGACUAAAACAUUUCACAAAUUUUAUUAUCGGCACUAAAAUAUUUCUCAAAAGCUUUUCAACUUCAGAUUGAAUAGAUUCCUUCAUUCCAUUUGUCUAGAACUUAGAAACAUUUUUAAUAUUGCUGAUCAUCUGGCUCAUAGGUUGUCUGUGAUUAGUAAUUAUUUCAAAUGUUAAAGGUUGGCAAUUGAUAUUUUCUCUGGUUAAUUGAGCCUUUUUAGCUAUAUGGAUUAUAUGAUUUUUAAUAUUGUAAUAUUAAAUAGUUCAUGGCCUGUUUUAUUUUUUCAAAAAUAUAUCAUUGAAUUGAGCUUUGUGAUUGCACACUCUUAUGCAUGUUUUGACUCCUAUAACCAAUGUAUCUAUAAUGUUGUCCUUGAUAGUAAAAGGAAGAGAGAAUCCAAGGAACUGAUUUAUCUUACAUUUUUUUUUUUAAAAAAUUUACAAGUUACAUUUUGGUGAAUUUUUGUGUCAUUUUGGCGGCAACUUAUAACUAUGGGCCAUUGACAAACUUCAGUCGACUUUCAUAAACAAACAUUUUUUUUCUUUUGAUGUUAAAGGGCAAAUUUGGGAUCUUUUUACUAUUGUAAUCCUGCAACUCAAGAGGUGGGGUUUCUCUACUCAACCAUUCUUCAUAGAGCAUGUUUACUUAAGCUUAAAGAAAAUAAAAAGUUUUUCUAAACAUGUCUGGACAAGCUAGUUUUUCUUGCUUUUAAGUAAAAGAAAUUUAUUGUGGAAGUAACUCUUACUGUCAAAAUAAGUAACUCAUUUAUUUGUAGAUAAUAUUUUAAUCUUAGUCAAGCUUGCUACCUCAUAGCAAACCCUUCAUUUUUGUUCAAUCAGAUUCAGAUAUAGCCACUAAGUAUAUGUAACCAAGAUUUACCUUGCCACUCACCGUAGGAAUUGUGCCUGUUCAUUCUCAUUGAAGGGCUUCAUCCCAUUGAUUUACACCAAGCCGUUCACCUUUCUGCCAAUAUCAUCUGCCGAGGCUCCAGGGAAUAUAAUGAUGCAGGCUCUAGUGGACAGGUUGGUACCGCUACUCGUAAAACAGCUGCUGCAAGAUUAUUAAGAAUGGGUGCGUAAACAACAGGGUUCGUUUUCAAUGGAACUUCAAAGAAGCCGUGCUUCUACAUGAAAACCACAUUUACUUCCUCGGGUUAGAGUUAACAAUGUACUUUCUUAAGGGUGAGGAGCAGAAGUCCUGGAUUGUCAUUGUCUGAUGUGUGUAAUAGAUUAAAUCAUAUCUUUGAGCACUCUUUCAUGAAAUAAUCUUGUAUUAGUACUGAGUAACAUAUAGCUCUCAUUUGUUCGAAAAUCUCCCUCUUGAUCUGCAAAAUGAAACAAAUUUAUAUAGUCUGGAAUGCUUAUUGGCCUUGAAAUUGUAAUACAUUGCUGUGAUGUACAAAUCAAAUUGUUGUUUUUGAUUUAAGAAUGUUUAUGAAAAACAGGAAAUAACCUAGUGAAUAAAUCUCGUGUUUACAGCCCAUAUUAUUUA
Molecule: long non-coding RNA, 2776 nt
Organism: Olea europaea var. sylvestris
Lineage: Eukaryota; Viridiplantae; Streptophyta; Magnoliopsida; Lamiales; Oleaceae
Exons: 5
Source: RefSeq, a predicted model, not a curated record